RNAcentral lists this unclassified non-coding RNA (232 nucleotides) under Hevea brasiliensis (rubber tree). Lineage: Eukaryota; Viridiplantae; Streptophyta; Magnoliopsida; Malpighiales; Euphorbiaceae. The record is from RNAcentral.
AGCUCAGCUGGACCCCCGGGUCAUAUCAAUACGACUAUACCAAGACUAAAGGAGCUUGAUUUGACUGGAAACCUGCUUUCUGAUUGGAAGGAAAUUGCUGCAAUCUGUAAAGAGUUACCAGCUCUUGUAACUCUGAACUUAUCAUACAACAGCAUGUCUCACGAUAUAAGUGGGAUGCCCCUGCUAAAUCACAUCAAAGUUGUUGUUUUGAGCCACACCGGUAUAGGCUGGG